RNAcentral lists this ribosomal RNA (227 nucleotides) under uncultured bacterium. Its description in RNAcentral is "partial 16S ribosomal RNA". It matches the Rfam family "Bacterial small subunit ribosomal RNA", at positions 107 to 334 of the family's 1533-position model. The record is from RNAcentral.
UGAGUAACACGUAUCCAACCUGCCGUCUACUCUUGGACAGCCUUCUGAAAGGAAGAUUAAUACAAGAUGGCAUCAUGAGUCCGCAUGUUCACAUGAUUAAAGGUAUUCCGGUAGACGAUGGGGAUGCGUUCCAUUAGAUAGUAGGCGGGGUAACGGCCCACCUAGUCUUCGAUGGAUAGGGGUUCUGAGAGGAAGGUCCCCCACAUUGGAACUGAGCCACGGUCCAA